CCUGAAAACCAAAAUGAAAACAAUGUCAAAAUAUUAGAUAAAUCACAUAAAACAGUUAAGGGGAUACCAAUAUAUAAAAAUUAUUAGUAAGCUCAUUUCUGGAACUGUUAAUGCUCGGUUUCACAAGCCAAGUGACCAACAGCCUUCACUCAGUUACUGGUAGUGUUACUAUGGUUACUACGGUUACUACGUUUAGUGUGAAAAACUAUAACCAUGUUUUCAGUCUGCAUUGUUCUUAGUGGUCUAGUCAUAUACUCGGAGUCCUCUGGCUGUGUAAAUAUGUUCUCAAUUUCCCUUUUCCCUGCUUCCCUACUGAAGACACCGGCAACGGAAUGGGCAUUUGUGCCUACUCCCAGAGCUCACGAGGGGCAUCCUGCGCCUCUGAAAGGCACGCUCAAGAGUACAAGGGGAUGGGGCCCUUUGGCACAUUCGGUAACACCAGUAGAUGCAUUAUAUUCCUGUUAUUUGAUGAACUAUGAACAACCAACAACUAGAAUAAGUGCUCUUGGGCUGUAAUGGCAAAAUACAUGAUCGGGAAGCAGUCUGAAUUUAAUCAAGGGGAUGUACCAUUCCAUUGUUUAUGAUUAUGAUCUCAUGGAUUAGGUUGGGGGUUAGCAAACUGCCUGCAGGCUGAAUCUAGCCUGAUGCUUGUUCAUUUAUAUAUUGUCUGUGGCUGCUUUCACACAAUGGCAGAGUUGAAUAGUUGAGGCAGAGACCAUGUGGCCUGCAAAGUCUGAAAUAUAUCUGGCCCUUCUUUUACAGAAAAAGUUCGUCAGUCCCUGAACCAGAUCGUCUGUUUAAGUGGAGCUAAAAAGAAUGGCUACGAGAUUAAUUUUUAAUUAUUGGUCUAUUUAAGUACCAGCUCUUUAUCUCUUAGGACUCGGCUUCAAUGCUCCCUUUUAAGGAAAGCCUUUCUUAACUCCAGGCAGCAGGAAAGAAUGGAAACCAUCUUGGAGUCACACAGGUUUGUGAAACGAUCUCACCUCUGUAUCAACAGCCUUGACUUAGUAGGAUCCGGCACUUUGGAAUCCCUGAAGGCUGGCUCCAUGCUCUGGUCAGGGCAGGAGUACUUUAAAUCAGGUAUGCAGGGGGAUGGGCAAGCCCUUACUGAAGAAGUGUAGCUGUUUUUUUUUUUUUUUUAUUUUUUUGAGACGGAGUCUUGCUCUGUCGCCCAGGCUGGAGUGCAGUGCCGCAAUCUUGGCUCACUGCAAGCUCCGCCUCCUGGGUUCACGCCAUUCUCCUGCCUCAGCCUCCCGAGUAGCUGGGACUACAGGCGCCCGCCAUUGCACCCGGCUAAUUUUUUUGUAUUUUUAGUAGAGACGGGGUUUCACCGUGUUGGCCAGGAUGGUCUCGAUCUCUUGACCUCGUGAUCCGCCCACCUGGGCUUCCCAAAGUGCUGGGAUUACAGGCGUGAGCCAGAAGAAGUGUAGCUGUUUUAAAUAACAUGUAAGUUCAUACCAUUACUCAGCUCACAUACCCAGUUUCAAGUCCCAGCUAACAUACCACUCUCAACUGGCAUGCAAGAUGGAAUUUAGUGCUCUUAGAGAACAAUGUUUUGUGAGAUGCCUUAGUUAAACCAGAGCUGACCCUGAAUGGAGAUAUUUUUCUAUGAAAAAAACUUGCUUCUUUUGGUAAUAUGCUUCUAGUUGGUAUGCCAUCCUGGGAAAUUGUCUCCACUCCCCAAAUGUAGUCCCUACAGAAUCAUAUACAGUAAAGAAAUCCCCAAGGGCUCAUCUGUCUUUAAGACACCAAGGUGUAUGUAUCAGCGUAUAAGAAGUGUUUAAAUUCACAGGAACUACAAUCAUUUCAUAGUGAAUGGAUUAGAUAUAUUUGAUGGACAAAAAUCAACUUAGUUUCGUUGGCAUUUAAAAGGAUAAGACAUCACGUAAGUUACACAACAUGUAGAAGAGAUCAGAAAUGAGUUUGGUUAGAUUUUUGGGUAGUCAUCAAAAACACCAUCAGAAGUAUGGGGCAAAAAAGAUUAAGCUGCCCUCCCACAUGAAAUUAGAGCAAGAUUUUCGAGUACUUAUUAAAUUACUUCAUUUGCUUAAGCAAAACAUUAGCUUUCUUGGAAGUCAGGCCAAGUGUUAUGUAACAGUUAGUCUUAACUCUGGUUUGUAACCAAAAUAAGUAGAUUAUUGAGGUUAUCCUUAUUGAGAAAAAAAACACGAUUAGUAGAGGAAUGGUUUGUGGUAACAUGGCAACACUGCUCAACAUGACAAAAACUAGCCAAGUGGAAGUUUUCAUGGAAAACAACAUUGAUUUUUGUCAGGCAUUUAAAUAUUCAAUGUGAUUAGUAAGUACUGAAAUGCAUAAAUGACUUAAAGAUACACUACAUGCCUCAAUAAGCAGUUAAGCCCAGGCUUUUCCCUGGUUCCAUCCUCCCUCUUCGUCCUAUUUCAGACACUCCAUUCACAGAACUGAUAGGUAGCUAGUGACAUGGUACCAGGAGGAGAAACAUUUCCCUCCAUCGAUGGAGAUCUUGGGAGUUCUGCAGAAGUACAGAGGAGCUGAGGGAAUGGCUUCCAGAUUGUGGACCCUGGACCAUGGCAAGAGGGCAAGGGAUCCAAGGAUGCACAUGGCACCAAGCAUUCUCUGAUGGUGUAGAUAAAAGUACCACUAGGCUAAUAAGGUCUGUGAACAUUUGUGUACUCCUACUCAAAGAGGGCCAUAAGAAGAAGAGUUGCUCUCCACGGCAAAUAUCCAGAGUAAAUGGAUUUGAGGCCAACCCCACCGCUGUUACAGAGCUUGAGAAAUCUUUCCAUCAAAGACUCUAUCUUUAUUGAAAACACAUUCAACACUUACCCACAGGCACGAGCCAGGCGGCUGCCUCUGCAUCUGAGGGAGCACACGUGUCUGGAGCACCUGCCUGAUGCAGGCUGAACACAUACAACUGCCCCCAUUUACACCACUUGGUCCCAUGAGUAAGUUAUUACUCUGAUUUUCAAAUGAACUUGACUAGUAUUCAUUUAAGCUCCAGAAAGCAUCUGGUGUCAGAAGAAAACAGGAAGGCAGGAUGGUUCACUAUUUCCCAUUUAUUCAGCAGCAGUAGUUACACUAUCCUCAAUUUGCCCUAUUUUAUGACAACCUAACAUAUUAUGCUGGGAGGAACAGAAUGAGUAUACAACAAGGUUUGCCCCAGAAGCUAAAACAAAUUUACUGACAUUUAAAGAGCAAUACUCACCCUCGGUUUGUCUACAGGGGAAAGAAAUUCAUCCAGUGAUGCUUCAGUAUGCAAGAACAAAAUUGUUUUGCAAUAAUACAUAAGAAAGAACAUUCUCUAGGACAAAAGUCCCCUCCUUGCCAAGAGCCUGGGGUGCAGCAGGAGUACAGUACUUUUUUUGAAACCCUGAAGGACAGCUCAAUUUUUUGCUAAGGGCAUGAAGGUUCUGGAAUCAGCCAUGUGUGGAGGGAUGGAUAUGCCUUUUUAAAAAAGCAUGACAGUAUUUCUGAGCAUGAUUUUCAGUUGCUAAAUAUAGGCUUAGCAACAGCACUGCUGAUGAAAUCACUCAGGAGACAUUUUUAAAGAGAAGCAAAAGAAAACAGAUUUGUGAUGUACACACAGCAGGACAACUGUUUUGGAUGAACUCAUUCCAACUUGUUAAGACGACAAAAAUGACCAACUUGUUAAGAUGAGAAAAAUGAACGUGUUCAAUUAACUGAAUCCUCUUUUUAAGACGACUGAGUGUGUUGCAGCUGAGUGAAUCUUUGGGACUCGGGAAAAAUAAUCCACACAGACAUUGCAAAUCCCUGUGUUAGCCCAGGCCCAAACUCCUCACCCAAAUCCAAAGCCUUUCCCGAGGGCAGAUUUUACCAGGAACAUUCACCGGGGCUGGUAACCUCUCCCAUUUCUGUGUCAGAUGUUCAUAGCUGAGUAACAGAUAAGCAAGGAAAAAGAGCAGGGUCCGAGCUAAUCUUUAUCCACACAUACGCCCAGAGGGCCAGUGGCUCAUGUGGGAUGUGGGUACCAAGCUUGAGGGCUCAGGGUCACUUCUGGAAACAAAGCUGACAGGCUGAUGGUUCUUACUGACCUGUCAUAGCUUCCUCAGCAGUCUUUCAUCCUAACUGAAAUAUGACCCACUAUGGCAGGGGUUCACGCCCUUGGCUGCACCCUGGACCUUCUUGGGGAGCUAUAGAGAAAUCCUGAUAGCAGGCCUACCCUGGAGAUUCUGAGGUAGGCAAGGGUGAGAGACCUGGGCACUAGGAAUUUUCCAAGCUAUGUAAAUGAUUCUUGUGUGCACAUGUGGUUUAGAACCACCUCAUCAUGUCAGCCCCACUCUGGCUUUAGGGAACUCAACUCAUCACCUGACACAGGCUAACAAAGGAUCACUGGGUGCAGUGGGCCCAGACCAACAGAAUUGGGAUCCCCUGGGAGAGUUGAGAAUGACUUCAAGAGCUAUUUUAGAGACGCAACAGAGUGGGUUUGAGGAAUAAGGAUGACAGAGGAGUUGAAUGAUGAUGUAAAGGUUUUCCGGCUUGGCUAGUUAGGUGAUUGUGACCUCCCAACCAAGACAGGGAGUAUAAGAGAAUGAGAAGGUUUGAGAGAAAAGAUUAGAAUUAUUUUGACCAUUCUGGGGUUGAGAUUUCUGUGGGUGGUGACAUAUGAUAGCAAGUUUACUGGGCCAAGGCCCCAUCCAGAGGCAGUCACAGACCUGAGGGCUCUUAAGUAUAGAAGGGGCACUAGAGGCAUGGGUCUGGACAAGCUCACCUGGGAACCAAGGCAGAGGCAGGAUGAGAAGAAGAAAAUAUGGGAAAUGAUAGCAUUUAAGGAAUGGCUAGAAGAAGAUAAUUCAGCAAAUGACACACAAAAAAAAAUGGCCAGAGAAGUUAGAA
Molecule: long non-coding RNA, 4833 nt
Organism: Homo sapiens (human)
Lineage: Eukaryota; Metazoa; Chordata; Mammalia; Primates; Hominidae
Exons: 2
Source: RefSeq, a predicted model, not a curated record